RNAcentral lists this ribosomal RNA (135 nucleotides) under Microsporum canis. RNAcentral describes it as "partial 28S ribosomal RNA". It matches the Rfam family "Eukaryotic large subunit ribosomal RNA", at positions 1 to 136 of the family's 3401-position model. RNAcentral also lists the same sequence under 1 other name. The record is from RNAcentral. Lineage: Eukaryota; Fungi; Ascomycota; Eurotiomycetes; Onygenales; Arthrodermataceae.
GACCUCGGAUCAGGUAGGGAUACCCGCUGAACUUAAGCAUAUCAAUAAGCGGAGGAAAAGAAACCAACAGGGAUUGCCCCAGUAACGGCGAGUGAAGCGGCAAGAGCUCAAAUUUGAAAUCUGGCCUCCCUUGGG